Molecule: unclassified non-coding RNA, 234 nt
Filed under: uncultured Helotiales
Lineage: Eukaryota; Fungi; Ascomycota; Leotiomycetes; Helotiales
Description: sequence contains ITS2
Source: RNAcentral
AACGCACAUUGCGCCCCUUGGUAUUCCGGGGGGCAUGCCUGUUCGAGCGUCAUUAUAACCCUCAAGCCUAGCUUGGUGUUGGGGCAUGCUUCUGCAGCCCUUAAAAUCAGUGGCAGUGCCUGUUGGCUCUAAGCGUAGUAAUACUCCUCGCUAUAGAACCCAGCGGAUACGCGCCAGAACCCCAAAUUUUCUAUGGUUGACCUCGGAUCAGGUAGGGAUACCCGCUGAACUUAA